This is a long non-coding RNA of Triticum aestivum (bread wheat), 1374 nucleotides long. RefSeq lists it as uncharacterized. NCBI's taxonomy places the organism in Eukaryota, Viridiplantae, Streptophyta, Magnoliopsida, Poales, Poaceae. The transcript has 2 exons. The record is from RefSeq and is a predicted model, not a curated record.
GAGGGCGACACCGAUAUUGAGGACUUUUAUCCACUACUAGAUGAUACACCUGUUAUUCCUAUUGAAGAUAGCACACUUGAUUCUUGCAAUCCAUCAAAGAAGAGAGCAGAAGCAUGGCAGAAGAAGAAACUGAGGAAGGAUGCUAUUCUCGGUUCACAAGCAAAGUUGCGAGAUGUAACCAACACUCAAGCAUGUGAACUUUCAGAUCCAGGAAGUGAGGAUAUUGGAAUGGAUAUAAUAUCAAGCGAUGAUGAUGGCUUUGAACCUGCAAUAUCCGUUGCACCAAAAUGCAAGAAGAGUAGAGCACAACCACUUCCAACUAGAGUGUGGUAUGAUGAGGGCAGGUUGCUUGGAGGUGAACAACUCUGUUUGCAUAUGUGUUUUGUGAACAUGCAUCAAUACAGAAGAGCCUUGAAGAAUUAUCAUAUACUUCAAAGUAGAGACUAUAUGUAUCUUAGAAAUGAUAGAGAUCGGGUCAAUGUUUGUUGUGUGACUGAACUUUGCCAAUUCUAUAUGACCUGUUCAUGUUCAUGCUGAAGCUGAAGCAGAUACUUCAACUGGUGCAGCCAAAGGCAGAGGGGGAGGAAGAGCACAAGUAAAUGGAAGCGGAAGAGGCCGUGGAAAAGGCAGAGGCAGAGGACAAGCUGAAGCUGCAAUUCAAGAUCCUUUUCAUGCGCAUGCGGUCUUCGAAGCACAUGAUCCUUUUCAUGGGUUUGACAUACAAGAAGUUGCUUCACAACCAGCUGCAGCUAAUACUAGAGAGAAGCUGCCAGUAAUGAGGGGUUCAGGUUCAACAGGGGGCAGAUUCAUGGAGUACUUCACUGCCAGUGGCAACCACUGAAGAAAAUCCUAUGUCGAAGGCUUCUUUUGUGAAUGAAAAGUUUACAUCUGUAUGAAAACUGACUUGUAAAUGCCAGAUACACAACAUGAUGCAUCGCUGGAUUACACUGAAGAAAAUCUGUAGCUAUUUGCUGUUGAACUCUGAAAAAAGAAAGGACAAAGGAAGCAGCCUAAACUCGUUGGGGAGGAGCUCUGUACAGGAUGGCCGACGGCGUCGACGAUGCCGCUGGGUGGACGAGCCAACGCUGACACCAAGGAAGAGGUGCUGGUGGAGGAGACGACGUCGGGAUGGACGAACCAGCGAGCUGCCAGCGACGAGCUAGCCGUCGACUCUGGCUUGGGAGGAGACGGCAUGCACGCAGAUGCAGGUGGCUGUUAGUACGGGCAUUAGUUAGAGGAUUUGGACUGUGUGUGCUGGAUUUGGGACGUGUGUUACUAGUUAGCCCAAAGGUUGUGGUUUUGUGAAAACUUCUCCAAAAGGUGGGGUAAAGUGUUAUAAGCGCCCCUGAAGUUGAUGUUCUGUGCAAUUCACUC